Long non-coding RNA from Aplysia californica (California sea hare), 2363 nucleotides. RefSeq lists it as uncharacterized. The transcript is spliced from 2 exons. NCBI's taxonomy places the organism in Eukaryota, Metazoa, Mollusca, Gastropoda, Aplysiida, Aplysiidae. The record is from RefSeq and is a predicted model, not a curated record.
AUGUUGGGAAAGUCCGUCCUCUAAGACACCAUUGUAAACAAGUGAGGCUUACGUUCACAAGCAGUGCGCACUGUUGGACGAUCAGUCCUUUUGAGUCCGUUAAUCAAACGAGGACCCAGCUAGUAUAAUUAUAGAUAGGAAAGGGGAAAGGGAACAAGAGGUGUGUGUGUGUGUGUGUGUGUGCGUGUGUGCGUGUGUGUGUGUGUGUGUGUGUGUGUGUGUGUGUGUGUGUGUGUGUGUGUGUUUGUUUGUGUUGUUUUAGGCCCAGACUCUGACUACCGAAUGUGGUGCUUCUCUGGCCUCUAUCCUUGUUAAAAUUACCUUUACUUAUUAUAUUCCAACUGACUCACUUGGGACGAGCUUGGAAGGAUGGCUCAGGAGGCAGGCUGACGUCACCACUGGGUAGGCGGUAUUCGGAAAAGCCUCGCGCGGAUAAGUCCCUCAUUGGGACAAGGGCGAGUUACUGGUGAGCCGGCGUGAUAAACAAAGAAGAAGGAACGUGUCUCUGUAGUACAACACACCUGUGAAACACUAUUGUCUCUCAUAACGCCUUCAAAUCGGCAGAGUGCUUUUUGAACGUUGAUUAGAUAUUGACGUACAUUUAUUGAAAUUUAAUAAUGCAAAUUAUCGUCAGCAAUCAAUCUCUUGUCCACUGCACAGCCGACAAAAAGUGACCGGCGCCGCCGGUCUUGCCCUGUUAAUGAUCCGCCCCUGAUCGUGAAAUGGAUAUAUUAUACCUGUUUUGAGCUCUGAGCAGACUAAAAUCAAUAUCGGCUGUAUAAUUUAAUUUGAACUAUUUGCUAUUAGCACUUCCAUUGUUGUUGUUGUUGUUGGUGGUGGUAACAAUCCAAAAACAGCUGGGUUCUCACCUAUCUGUCCAAUGCCAUGUUGUCAUGUAGUGAUAAAAGCAGGUUUGCUGCAGUUGCUGUAUUGUUCCAAAGAGUGUGUUGUCAGUGUUAGGUCUCGGGAGGGAAAAGUGCACCUCUGAGGUAAUUAGUUAAGGGCUGUGAAGAGGAGCAGGUGAUGAUCCACAGUCUCAUAAAUAUGUAAGUUACACAAAGGACACAUUGGGGAAGUUCUUGAUUUAUUCUGCUCAAGUAGAAGUUGAGAUAUGUUCUGUACGUAGGCGGAAGAUCGUGAUUAGUUUCUUUCUCUGUAGGUGGUUGUUAUUGUCCUUUCUAUGUGUUGUGGUCAAAUGUUGAAAUCUGCCUGUCUUUCUCAAAGCCCACCUGUUCAUCCCAUCUUGAUUGUUGCCACUUUAAUGAUUUGUUGUGCAGUGUUGUAUGAAGUUGGAAUGUUGGGUUGUUUCUUCCUAGAUCCCGUUUUGGCAAGCGUGUCUUCAAAGGGAAUCUUUGUCAUUUCCAGAUCAUGGAUCAGUACCCACUGACGGACACGGGAAAGACAAGUAGGAAGGAGCUGAGACGUUUGGCUACACACAAGUUUGGCGUACAGUGACGUGGGUGGACGCCUCUCGGAAACAAUCUUAUUUGUUGUAGGCUGACAUUUCAAAAAUUCAAAAUUUCCUCUCUGCACCUCUGCCUGAAACAAUCUUAGUUGUAGGCUGACAUUUGAAAAAUUCAAAAUUUCCUCUCUGUACAUCUCCCUGAAAGAAUCUUAGUUGUAGGCUGACAUUUGAAAAAUUCAAAAUUUCCUCUCUGUACCUCUCCCUGAAAGAAUCUUAGUUGUAGGCUGACAUUUGAAAAAUUCAAAAUUUCCUCUCUGCACCUCUCCCUGAAAGAAUCUUAGUUGUAGGCCUGCAUUUCAAAAUCCAAAAUGACUCUACAAUAAAAAACAAAUAAUUUCACACUUGUAAAAUGAUAAGACACACCACAUUUACUUUACACCACCCUUUUGAUCCCAUAUCUAUUUGACGGUGUCUCUCCUUUGUAGCAGUAUUAAUUAACUAUGAGAGCUAAUAGUUUAUUUAUGAUCUCACUUGAAAAAAAAGAGGGCAAAUCAGGCAAAAGUGGACCACGAACAACUUACUUAGACUUGGAGAAUUUGAACAGAUUAGAUCUAGAUCUAUAGGUGAUGGGGAAAGCAUUGUUUCAAAUCUGGUACUUCUUGCUUGAUGAUAUAAGGUAAUGUGUAAAAAGAGAGUGCUAUUUCUUUCCUGGAAUAUGAGAGGUAUAUUAUGUAUUUUGCUGUCCGUGUAUAUUUUAAUCCAUAACAUUUAUGACGCACAGCCGAUCACUCACGUAACGAAAUCGGUGAGACGCAGACAUCUUUUCUUUGUGUAAGAUUACUAAGAAUUUUGCUGUGUACUUGUUGCAAAAUUCGACUACAUAGAAUAUUUAUAAACAUUAAUAUGUAAGUUGUAAAAGAAACAAUUGUGGACCUGAAAUAAAUCUUUUCGUUAUGUG